RNAcentral lists this ribosomal RNA (229 nucleotides) under uncultured bacterium. RNAcentral describes it as "partial 16S ribosomal RNA". It matches the Rfam family "Bacterial small subunit ribosomal RNA", at positions 104 to 334 of the family's 1533-position model. The record is from RNAcentral.
CGGGGUGAGUAAUGUAUGGGGAUCUGCCUGAUGGCGGGGGAUAACUACUGGAAACGGUAGCUAAUAUCGCAUAAUGUCUGCGGACCAAAGCGGGGGACCUCCGGGCCUCGCGCCAUCAGAUGAACCCAUAUGGGAUUAGCUUGUAGGUAAGGUAACGGCUUACCUAGGCGACGAUCCCUAGCUGGUCUGAGAGGAUGACCGGCCACACUGGAACUGAGACACGGUCCAG